UGGUGCUUUAGUACUCGAAUGCUCUCCACAGUUACCAGAUCUCAAUCCAAUAGCGCACCUUUGGGAUGUGGUGGAACGGGAGAUUUACAUCAUGGAUGUGCAGCCGACAAAUCUGCAGCAACUGCGUGAUGCUAUCAUGUCAAUAUGAACCAGACUCUCUGAGGAAUGAUUUUCCAGUACCUUGUUAAAGCUAUGCUAUGAAGGAUUAAUGCAGUUCUGGAGUCAAAAGGUGGUCCAACCCGGUACUGGGAAGAUGGCCGGCAAUUGUUUAGAGACCUUCAGGGAGUGGGGGUCCUCCUUCUUUCAGGAGGAAGAACAACAUCUCAGAAGGACACUGACAGUUACCGGAAGAAAAUACGCCUUCUGAAGAGUCCUGACCUCAACCCAAUUGAGAUGCUGUGGCCUCAAGACCUCAAAAGAGCAAUUCACGCCAGAUAUCCCAAAAUUAUUGCUGAACUGAAACAGUUUUAUGAAGAGGAAUGAUCCAAAAUUCCUCCUGACUGUUGUUCAGGUCAGAUCUGCAACUACAGGAAAUGUUUGGUUGAGGUUUUUGCUGCCAAAGGAGAAUCAACCAGUUAUUAAAUCCAAAGAUUCACAUACUUUUUCCACCCCUCACUGUGGAGUUUAACAUGUCGUGUUCAAUUAAACCAUGCAAAUAUAUAAUUGUUUGUGUCGUAUUAGUUUAAGACAAAAUGUGUUUGUCUAUUAUUGUGACUUAGAUGAAGAUCAGAACACAUUUAAUGACCCAUUUAUGCAGAAAUCAAAGUAAUCCCAAAGAGUUCACAUACUUUUUUUCUUGAUUUAUUCUUGGUUUAUUACCAAUAAAGCAUCUUUUCAGCUAACUUGUUUCAGUGUGUGUGUGUGUGUGUGCAU
Long non-coding RNA from Astyanax mexicanus (Mexican tetra), 873 nucleotides. RefSeq lists it as uncharacterized. The transcript is spliced from 3 exons. The record is from RefSeq and is a predicted model, not a curated record. NCBI's taxonomy places the organism in Eukaryota, Metazoa, Chordata, Actinopteri, Characiformes, Acestrorhamphidae.